RNAcentral lists this ribosomal RNA (442 nucleotides) under uncultured bacterium. RNAcentral describes it as "partial 16S ribosomal RNA". It matches the Rfam family "Bacterial small subunit ribosomal RNA", at positions 338 to 795 of the family's 1533-position model. The record is from RNAcentral.
CCUACGGGAGGCUGCAGUGGGGAAUAUUGGGCAAUGGGCGCAAGCCUGACCCAGCAACGCCGCGUGAAGGAAGAAGGCUUUCGGGUUGUAAACUUCUUUUAAGCGGGAAGAGCAGAAGACGGUACCUCUUGAAUAAGCCACGGCUAACUACGUGCCAGCAGCCGCGGUAAUACGUAGGUGGCAAGCGUUGUCCGGAUUUACUGGGUGUAAAGGGCGUGCAGCCGGGAAGACAAGUCAGAUGUGAAAUCCCGCGGCUCAACCGCGGAACUGCAUUUGAAACUGUUUUUCUUGAGUACCGGAGAGGUCAGCGGAAUUCCUGGUGUAGCGGUGAAAUGCGUAGAUAUUAGGAGGAACACCAGUGGCGAAGGCGACUUUCUGGACGAUAACUGACGUUGAGGCACGAAAGUGUGGGGAGCAAACAGGAUUAGAUACCCGAGUAGUC